AUUAUAACUUCAAAAUCUAGAAUUGUCUCUUAUUAAUGAUUCGGAAAUAGAAAAAACUUGGUUAUGUUAUUAUUCUUCGUUGGUUCGUUUAAUGGAAAACACUUUGCUACAAGAAAUAAUGGAAAUUUUAUAACGAAUUUAAUAAAAUGUUUUUAUCAUUAUAUAUAAAGAAUUAAUGGCAAGAAAAAGUUAUAUACAACCUCAACUCAUAUGGGACUACCUCCUGAAUUUAAGCAUAUUAAUUAGGGGAGGAAAAGAAACUAACAAGGAUUUUCUUAGUAGCGGCGAGCGAAAAGAAAACAGUUCAGCACCAAGUCACUUUGUCUAUAUGGCAAAUGUGAGAUGCAAUGUAUAGAGCGUCAAUAUUCUAGUAUGAGAAAUUAACGAUUUAGGUCCUUCUUAAAUGAGGCCAUUUACCCAUAGAUGGUGGCAGGCCCGUACAACGUUAAUGAUUACUAGAUGAUGUUUCCAAAGAGUCGUGUUGCUAAAACUAAAUAUAACCAUGAGACCGAGGGAACAACAAGUACCGUGAGGGAAAGUUGAAAAGAACUCUGAAUAGAGAGUUAAACAGUACGUGAAACUGCUUCGAGGUUAAGCCCGAUGAACCUGAAUAUCCGUUAUGGAAAAUUCAUCAUUAAAAUUGUAAUAUUUAAAUAAUAUUACGAGGAUAGUGUGCAUUUUUUCCAUAUAAGGGCAUUGUAAUCUAUUAGCAUAUACCAAAUAAUUAUCAUUGAUUUUUGUGUUUAUUAUAUGCACUUGUAUGAUUAACAAUGCGAAAGAUUCAGGAUACCUUCGGGACCCGUCUUGAAACACGGACCAAGGAGUCUAACAUAUGUGCAAGUUAUUGGGAUAUAAACCUAAUACCGUAAUUAACUUGACUAAUAAUGGGAUUAGUUUUGUAACUAUUUAUAGCACAAUCCCGGGGCGUUCUAUAUAGUUAUGUAUAAUGUUUAUUUAUAUUAUUUAUGCCUCUAACUGGAACGUACCUUGAGCAUAUAUGCUGUGACCCGAAAGAUGGUGAACUAUACUUGAUCAGGUUGAAGUCAGAGGAAACCCUGAUGGAAGACCGAAACAGUUCUGACGUGCAAAUCGAUUGUCAGAAUUGAGUAUAGGAGUGAAAGAACAAUCGAACCAUCUAGUAGCUAGUUCCUUCCGAAGUAUCCCUCAGGAUAGCUGGGUCAUUUUAAUAUUAUAUAAAAUAAUCUUAUCUUGUAAAGCGAAUGAUUAGAGGCAGAUAUCAUGAAAGGCGUUGCUUGCUUAAAACAGCAGGACGGUGAUCAUGGAAGUCGAAAACCGCUAAGGAAUUUUUGAUACUCACCUGCCGUAGCAACUAGCCCUUAAAAUGGAUGGCGCUUAAUUUGUAUACCUAUACAUUACCGCUAAAGUAGAUGAUUUAUAUUACUUGUGAUAUACAUUUUGAAACUUUAGUGAAUACGAAGGUACAAUGAUAUGCGUAGAAGUGUUUGGCGUUAGCCUGCAUGGAGCUGCCAUUGGUACAGAUCUCGGUGGUAGUAGCAAAUAAUCGAUAGAAUAAUGUAGGUAUGGGAAGUCGGCAAUUUAGAUCCGUAACUUGGGGAUAAGGAUUGGAUCUGAAGAUUUAUAUAGUCGAGCUUGAUUGGGAAACAAUAACAUGGUUUAUGUUCUCGAUCUGGGUAAAUAGAGUUUCUAGAAUUUAUGUUAGUUACUUGUUCCCCGGAUAGUUUAGUUACGUAGCCAAUUGUGGAACUGUCUUGCUAAAAUUUUUAAGAAUACUUUUUGGGGGAAACCAAUUAGUUCUUAUUAAUUAUAACGGUUAUCAAUUAACAAUCAAUUCAGAACUGGCACGGACUUGGGGAAUCCGACUGUCUAAUUAAAACAAAGCAUUGUGAUGGCCCUAGCGGGUGUUGACACAAUGUGAUUUCUGCCCAGUGCUCUGAAUGUCAAAGUGAAGUAAUUCAACGGCGGGAGUAACUAUGACUCUCUUAAGGUAGCCAAAUGCCCGGCAAGCAAGCACUCGAAUUGCUACCGGGGUGGUUGCUAUGUACCUUGAUAUAGCUUCCAGGCCGGGACGUUUUGUCUAGCGUAUCUGGACACAUGCAUCAUAUGCUCACUUGUGGGUGUAUAGGGUGCCGUGGUUGUAAUCCCUUCAAUGUGGAACACGCCACUUAAAACAAGUUCGGAGGGAUCCGAUUCAUACUCUGUCCGUAUCUACUAUCUAGCGAAACCACAGCCAAGGGAACGGGCUUGGAAUAAUUAGCGGGGAAAGAAGAAUGCAUUUAUGUAUUUUUGAUUUGAAAAUUUUGUAUAACUCCAAUUACUCAGGUAUGAUCCAAUUCAAGGACAUUGCCAGGUAGGGAGUUUGACUGGGGCGGUACAUCUCUCAAAUAAUAACGGAGGUGUCCCAAGGCCAGCUCAGUGCGGACAGAAACCACAUAUGGAGCAAAAGAGCAAAUGCUGACUUGAUCUCGGUGUUCAGUACACACAGGGACAGCAAAAGCUCGGCCUAUCGAUCCUUUUCGUUUAAAGAGUCGUUAACAAGAGGUGUCAGAAAAGUUACCAUAGGGAUAAUUGGCUUGUGGCGACCAAGCGUUUAUAGUGAUCAUUGUGAAGGAAAAUUCACCAAGCGUUGGAUUGUUCACCCAUGCAAGAGAACGUGAGCUGGGUUUCGACCGUCGUGAGACAGGUUAGUAUUACCUUAUUAAUGACAAAACGUUGUUGCGACGAGGGGCAAUUUUCAUUGUAUGGCUUCUAAACCAUUUAAAGUUUAUAAUUUACUUUAUAAAAGACAAUGGAUGUGAUGCCAAUGUAAUUUGUAACAUAGUAAAUUGGGAGGAUCUUCGAUCACCUGAUGCAGCGCUAGUUACAUAUAAAAGCAUUAUUUAAUAGAAUGACAAAGCCUAGAAUCAAUUGUAAACGACUUUUGUAACAGGCAAGGUGUUGUAAGUGGUUGAGCAGCUGCCAUACUGCGACCCACUGAAGCUUAUCCUUUGCUU
RNAcentral lists this ribosomal RNA (2972 nucleotides) under Drosophila erecta. RNAcentral's name for it is "eukaryotic LSU rRNA". It matches the Rfam family "Eukaryotic large subunit ribosomal RNA". The record is from RNAcentral. Lineage: Eukaryota; Metazoa; Arthropoda; Insecta; Diptera; Drosophilidae.